This 169-nucleotide small nuclear RNA is filed under the name Vicugna pacos (alpaca). Its description in RNAcentral is "U4 spliceosomal RNA (ENSVPAG00000015646.1)". The stretch from base 1 to 134 matches the Rfam family "U4 spliceosomal RNA". From Rfam's summary of the family: U4 small nuclear RNA (U4 snRNA) is a component of the major U2-dependent spliceosome. The structure of U4 snRNA from yeast and human has been reported. The record is from RNAcentral. Lineage: Eukaryota; Metazoa; Chordata; Mammalia; Artiodactyla; Camelidae.
AGCUUUGCGCAGUGGCAGUAUCGUAGCCAAUGAGGCUUAUCCGAGGCGCGAUUAUUGCUAAUUGAAAUCUCCCUUUCUCUUCUAGGUGAUUCUGAGCGAGGAAGUCCCCCAAUUUUUCACUUCGCUAUAUUGAGAAGAAAGAAAGAAGGCUUUGUAAGGAUAUAUCUCC